GCCCUUUGCCCGCGGAGCAGGAAGCCGCUGCCGGCGCACGGCGGGCGGGAGCGGGCGGCUGCAGGUUUCUGCUGUCAUGCCUGGAGUGACUGUGUGGAGAGUGCGUAGCCACCGAGAGCACUGCAGGAGCAUGAGAAGCUGAAAGUACGGAGAUCUGCACCAGGAUGAGUCCCAUAACCUCCACAGCUUGGUACAGCCAUGGGAGGAAUGUAGAGCUGAGUGGUCACAAGGGAAAAUAAGUAGGCAAGGAUUCCUGGUUGCUGAACCUGAUGUAACUGCACAGAUGGACCAAGGAGAAGAACAACAUCAUGAGGCCUCAAAGGAGACACACAUGGAUGAUGAGCUAGGUCCCCUUCCAAAUCACCUUGCAAGCACAGAUCUGCAGGAUAUGUUGGCAGCAGGAUCCAGAGGAGGAGAGGAACAGUUGGG
Molecule: long non-coding RNA, 429 nt
Organism: Melopsittacus undulatus (budgerigar)
Lineage: Eukaryota; Metazoa; Chordata; Aves; Psittaciformes; Psittaculidae
Exons: 4
Source: RefSeq, a predicted model, not a curated record